GGUGAACCUGCGGAAGGAUCAUUACCACACCUC
Molecule: ribosomal RNA, 33 nt
Filed under: Spumella-like flagellate 1006
Lineage: Eukaryota; Chrysophyceae; Chromulinales; Chromulinaceae
Description: partial 18S ribosomal RNA
Source: RNAcentral